RNAcentral lists this ribosomal RNA (484 nucleotides) under uncultured bacterium. RNAcentral describes it as "partial 16S ribosomal RNA". It matches the Rfam family "Bacterial small subunit ribosomal RNA", at positions 28 to 523 of the family's 1533-position model. The record is from RNAcentral.
GACGAACGCUGGCGGCGUGCUUAACACAUGCAAGUCGAACGAUGAAGCUGGAGCUUGCUCCGGUGGAUUAGUGGCGAACGGGUGAGUAACACGUGAGCAAUCUGCCCCUGACUCUGGGAUAACUGCGGGAAACUGUAGCUAAUACCGGAUACUUUCACUGGAAGGAAUCUUCGGGUGACGAAAGAACUUCGGUCAAGGAUGAGCUAGCGGCCUAUCAGCUUGGUGGUGAGGUAACGGGUCACCAAGGCGACGACGGGUAGCCGGCCUGAGAGGGUGACCGGCCACACUGGGACUGAGACACGGCCCAGACUCCUACGGGAGGCAGCAGUGGGGAAUAUUGCACAAUGGGCGCAAGCCUGGUGCAGCAACGCCGCGUGAGGGAUGAAGGCCUUCGGGUUGUAAACCUCUUUUAGCAGGGAAGAAGCGGAAGUGACGGUACCUGCAGAAAAAGCACCGGCUAACUACGUGCCAGCCGCCGCAGUAA